AUAAAAUCAGACGAACUACAAGUAUAACAAUCAGUAAAUCCUAGACAAAAACAACAAACAACAUGAAUAAAAUUGAGCUCUGCAUUAUCAACCUGGAAGCUGAUGAGUUAUAUUCUUGUCCAAACUUCAAUUCCUUACUUGCUAGAUGACUUGUACGCGUCCAGUAUCAACUUUGUUUGGUCCCUAAUCAACUCCGUCCUCUUCAGGAAAAGCUCCAGUUCCGCAAGAUACAAUUUCUUCCACUCUUCCUCCAGCUCUGUUCUCUUGGAUUGCCCUAUUAACUCUAAUCCUGGCUUCAAAAAACUUUCCGGCAAGCCAACAGCACCCAAAGACCUUUCGAACGCAACAAAACCAUCCAUGCAUCCUGAAGGAGCCUCGCUAUCAUCGAUUUUCAUCUUAUCAUCCUCCUUCGG
RNAcentral lists this unclassified non-coding RNA (413 nucleotides) under Hevea brasiliensis (rubber tree). Lineage: Eukaryota; Viridiplantae; Streptophyta; Magnoliopsida; Malpighiales; Euphorbiaceae. The record is from RNAcentral.